Molecule: long non-coding RNA, 3426 nt
Filed under: Triticum aestivum (bread wheat)
Lineage: Eukaryota; Viridiplantae; Streptophyta; Magnoliopsida; Poales; Poaceae
Description: long non-coding RNA (TAES_LNC011419)
Source: RNAcentral
GCAGCUCCAGCAACUACCAGAUCUGCCGCAUACCCCACCCAUCCAUCCCUCUCGCAAUACAUCCAUUCCUCUCCGGCGCUCGCCUGUGACCCUUAGCCAUGGCAAGGGUUUCGGCUGUGGCACUGUGUCCAACACUUCACAUCUCCGGUGGCUCCUCUCCAUCCACACAUCGCGUCUCCGAUAGCUCCUCUCCGUCCACACCACUCUUCCUUGAGCCCACCUUGUCGGCUGUGCGGUGAUGCCGCUGGGCAACGUCCAGUGGCGAGCGACCAACUCCUGGGCCGCUGUCCGCGACACCUCUUCUCCACCAAGGUUAGCCCCCCGUCCGACCAAGAUCACUAUAGCCCCGUCCCUGAUGUCCCCCACCUGCCUCUCGUGAUCUGUUUUCAUCCCUUGAUGCGUGUGUGUAAGAAUUGUUUGAGAGUCCUGCAAUUCGUGAACAGUUUCUGAGUACUUAGCAUUCAAGGAGCAGCUUGUCAAUGAGCAGUCUGUCUCAGGAUGAAAUUUUGGCAGUUGUAGGUUUCCAUUCUACUUGUAGUGAAUAACCUUAUGAAUUCAUUCUCGCUGUCUUGACAACGGUUCCAGCAGCAAAUUUGUGCUUCAUCUUGAUUCACCGACUACUAUGUAUACUGUCUUUGGGUUCAGAGUGUGUUGUCUACUCGUCAAAUUGAUGGCCUUUUUUCAAUCGUUGAUGUAUCAUGUAUCUUAGGGAAGGAGGCAGGAAGUGAUAUACCAAGUUACAAUAUUAUUGAUGAGUUUUUUUUUCAAUGCUAUACAAUAUAGUGCUUAUUUCACUUGCAAUUUUAAAUUCUUUGGUGCCCAUCAGUUUAGUCAAUCAGUUAAUCCCCUUUCUUACUAUAUACACUAGAUAGUACUUAAUGAUGCAUGCGUAUUUGAACAGUGGCGUCACCUCUGUUCCUAUAUAGAUUCAUAACAAAGGUACAACACUGUCAGUGUCGAUUACCUAGCAUGGCUACUGCCCUCUCUAACUAUAAGGCUGUGUUGUCUGUGCGUGCUGACAAGGUGCCGACAGCUAGGGGAUCUGGUGCAGCAGCCGGUGUGUUGUGUGUGCGUGCUUCCUCUCUGAAUGUUUAACACUAAUUUUUCUCUGAAUUUUUCUGUAUCUUGUACACUGUAGGGUACCAAGUAGAGACAAAUAGCAGGGUACAAAGCAGAGACAAACCACCGCACUGUGGUAUUUGUCCUUUUAUCAAGUUCUAAUUUCACUUUAGAAUAUUUCCCUAGGUCUUGGAGACAUGAUUUCUGUUACUGUGUUAACAUGUCGACAUGUUCUGUUUAGUGAUUUCUCCCUAGGUACUUUUUUUUCUAUCCUUGUUGUCUCAUGCAGCCAGCCAGGUGAAUAUGUAUUCCAGAAAUAUGUUUAAUCUAAACCUAAGAAGAAAAUUACAUUGUAACAUUGUGGCAGUCCUACAAUAAUAAUAUAAAGGUUUAAACCUGUUAAUUUGUGUACUAAGCACAUCUAUUAGCGAGUCAAUCUAGAGUAGUAGUACUACUUUUAGUUGUGCAUCUGCUACUAGUACCAAGGCUAAGUGUUCGCUCACUCUCUCAACCUUGAGGCAGACACCGAGCUAGCUAGCACUUGCCAUACAGUGACACAACGCAUUGCUUCUUCAACUCCUUUGCUCCAUCACUAGGUUGCCUUCCUGAAUAGUGCUCGUGACAAGUGAUCCUAAAUCAUUUUUCUUCAUGUUAUUCCUCUUUUUAUUUCGAUCACUUAACAUUCUAAUUGUCUGAUUAUGAUCUCUUGUUUUUGGGAUGCAGGUCUAGGUAGCUCUAUAACAGUCGUCCACUGCAUGGCGCACAAUAGAGCUUGAGAGGGCAACCAUGGUGGCCGGUGGGAGCUGAACCAUGAUCAACCAAGGGUUAGUUCUCCACUGCCACUCCUAUGAUUUCUCUGCUAUUUUCAUUCCCCAGCUCAACUGCUACUGAACUACACCUAUCACCUUGUUCACAAAUGUACUUGUUCAUUUCAUGAUUGUUUCCGCCAUAAAUAAUAGUACUCUCAAUGCUGGUCAAGUGGGAAAGCCUAGCCCUGAGCAUAUAGAAUUGUUAUUAAAAGAAGUAACAAGGACACUAGACUAGCUUUUCUACCCGUCCUUCAAUAUAAGCGGAGCAUGAUCAAUUCAGGCCUCGCUUUCCUAACUAUUAGUUCAUUGUUUAUCAAGUAUUUUCUUGUUUCAUAAUUCACUACAGUACCCAUUUUGAGUUUUUCAUGUAAUAACAAGUACACCGCUUAGUACUCCAGAAAUAAACUAUUAGUGUGGGAGAUCUCUUAGUGAAACUGUAUCUUAUUCUUUGUCAAUAUUUUGUAUGCCAUUUGAAGUUCACUUGGCAAGCAAGUAUUGUUUAGUACUGUAUUUUUUGUCGCUUUGAGAGAACUUGCAGCAUAAACAUCGGGUUAUAUAGUCCACAACAUUACAUACUUUGGUUUGAACUUGUCCUAUGUUUAUGUCCAGUUUGUGUUAAUUAUCUUGAAGUUAGUCUACCACUUCUUUACUGUCAUUCUUGUUUGUUAAGGAAUGGUGUGGUACAGUGUUUGCUGGCAGAAUUUUCUUUACAUAAUUUUCAGCUGAUCGCUUGUACAGAAAAUUCUAAUCCAGAAAAACUAAGUACUUGUACAAGCGUGUACAACUUCCUCUCAGAAAAAAAAACUAAGUUCCUGCCUCUCACUUUUGUUUUCAUUUCUUUUAGAGUAUAGAAACGUUUGAUCCAGAUAAACUAAAUACCUGUAUUGGGGCACAACUUCCUCACACAAAUAAAAUAAAACUAAGUACUUGUUCGUGUCAUGUUUGUUUGCUUUCUUCUUUGAGAAAUCUCAUGUUUGUUUGCUAGUCCGGAAAGUAGGCAACUCCCAGCCUAGUUAGCCCCAUGCACUUGCUGUUUGUUUGGUCCAGAACCAAUGGCUGAACCAACUGCUGUUGGUAUUGCACUUUUAGUUCUGUGAUGUGUGUUUGUUACUUGUCACUUGUAGGCUAACUUGAUUAUACUUUCAUUUGUCACACUUUUCUUUUUCUACUAAAUUUGCUUGUAACUUGUAGGCUAACUUGAUUAUAAUUUUGAAUGUGUUUUGAUUCUAUGCAGGUUUGCCACCGUGUUACUAGAGAUUGAAAUUUUUUAGCAGGAAUUAAUUGGGUCUGGAUAGCUGCCUUGAAUUGUUGUAGUGUUGGAGAUUAAAAUCAGCUAGCAGUGCAUUUUCUUUCAAGCCAUGUAACUCAAUUUUUUUAAAGAUGCUUAUAGUGCUAGAUAUGAUCGUGAUGUUUUGAUAUUAAGCUUUGUUUUUUCAAAUCAGACUAGAUUGUUGGAAAUCUGUUUUGUCAUGUAAACAAUUGCUAUUUUUUGAAUGAAUAUAAUUUGGUUGCCCUGUUGUAAAUUGUUUUGUAUAUAGAAAACCGGCUGUACUAAAAU